GAUGAACGCUGGCGGCGUGCCUAAUACAUGCAAGUCGAGCGAACAGAUGAGGAGCUUGCUCCUCUGACGUUAGCGGCGGACGGGUGAGUAACACGUGGAUAACCUACCUAUAGGACUGGGAUAACUUCGGGAAACCGGAGCUAAUACCGGAUAAUAUAUUGAACCGCAUGGUUCAAUAGUGAAAGACGGUUUUGCUGUCACUUAUAGAUGGAUCCGCGCCGCAUUAGCUAGUUGGUAAGGUAACGGCUUACCAAGGCAACGAUGCGUAGCCGACCUGAGAGGGUGAUCGGCCACACUGGAACUGAGACACGGUCCAGACUCCUACGGGAGGCAGCAGUAGGGAAUCUUCCGCAAUGGGCGAAAGCCUGACGGAGCAACGCCGCGUGAGUGAUGAAGGUCUUCGGAUCGUAAAACUCUGUUAUUAGGGAAGAACAAAUGCGUAAGUAACUAUGCACGUCUUGACGGUACCUAAUCAGAAAGCCACGGCUAACUACGUG
Molecule: ribosomal RNA, 497 nt
Filed under: uncultured bacterium
Lineage: Bacteria
Description: partial 16S ribosomal RNA
Rfam family: Bacterial small subunit ribosomal RNA
Source: RNAcentral